This 253-nucleotide ribosomal RNA is filed under the name uncultured bacterium. Its description in RNAcentral is "partial 16S ribosomal RNA". It matches the Rfam family "Bacterial small subunit ribosomal RNA", at positions 524 to 776 of the family's 1533-position model. The record is from RNAcentral.
UACAGAGGUCUCAAGCGUUGUUCGGAUUCAUUGGGCGUAAAGGGUGUGUAGGUGGCGCGCUAAGUCGGGUGUGAAAUUUCGGAGCUUAACUCCGAAACUGCAUUCGAUACUGGCGUGCUUGAGGACUGGAGAGGAGACUGGAAUUCAUGGUGUAGCAGUGAAGUGCGCAGAUAUCAGGAGGAACACCGGUGGCGAAGGCGGAUCUCUGGGCCUUACCUGACGCUGAGGCGAGAAAGCUAGGGGAGCGAACAGG